Molecule: non-coding RNA, 6084 nt
Organism: Plasmodium gonderi
Lineage: Eukaryota; Apicomplexa; Aconoidasida; Haemosporida; Plasmodiidae
Source: the annotation of a RefSeq genome assembly
CCGAUGAUAGCUCAGUUGGUAGAGCGGCAGACUGUAGUUGUAAUGGUUAUCUGUUGGUCACCGGUUCGAUUCCGGUUCAUCGGAUUUUUUUACUUAUUAAAUAAAAGUAAAAAAAAUAAUAAAUUAAGCAUAAAAAUAAGACUUUUUAAUAUACAUAUAUAUUUUUUUUUUUUUAUAUACUUAAAGAUAAAACGCGUUCGACUUCAUAUUGGGAAAAAUAUAAAGUAUUAUGAAAACUUCUAUAUUUUUACUUUUACAUGAGCACUCAUAAAAUAUAUCAUAAAUACUAACGCAAAUAUUGGGUAUGAUAAUUUCUUCUCUUGUUAUUUAAAAAAUUAAAUUUUAGAACCAAUUUGUUAAGGUAAAAUAAAAAAAAUAAAAGCUAAGAAGUGCAAUAAAAUAUUUGCUAAACUAUCUGCAAUAUUCACAUUUUUUUUUUUUUUUUUUUUGGUUUCACUUUAUAUAUAAAAUGAAGUUUCAUUGUUUUAUGCACGAGCGUCUACUUCAGGUUUAUCAUACUGAAGGAAGCUGAUCAGAAUUCGAUUCAUGUGAAAUGAUUUUAGUUUUUUCUUAAGUCUUACAUUUGUGUAAUUUUUUUUUUUUUUUUUUAUCCCUUAAUUAAAACGAAAUAAAACAAACAUUAUAGUGUUCCAUAUUUGUGGUGUUUUCAUCGCCCCUCUUUUUUUAUGAAAAAAUUUGAGGAUUAUAAAAAAUUAUGAACACAUAACACAUUACACUAAAGGACACUUUUAUUUACAUGCUUUUGUCGGUAUGCAAAUAAACCCCUACACCACUUGAAAUGGCACAUUUAUAUGAAUAUACAUAUUUUCAUAACAAAGUGUUACGUGUAUAUAAAAAUGUUUUCAAGAAUUUUCUUAUGUUUCUAGAAUUUUUCUAAUCCAAACAAUUGACCAAAUGAUGAUAUGAUGAAAUAAAUUGAUCUACCUUUUUGAUAAAUUCUUUUCUUCAAAAGUUUGGUUUUCCUUUUAUACUUUAACAAUUAAGUGAAAAAAAAAAAAAAUGUGCAAUAUUUUUGCUUUAAUGAAUUUUUCAAAAAAAAAAAAAAAAUUAAUAAUAAUAAGGUAUGUCACAUAUGGUUAUAAAGCCUCAUUUAUGUGGUAUUAUCCCAUGUUACCCCUUUGUUUCAUUUUAUUUUGUUACAUUUUUCUAAUAUUCCAAAUAUUAUAGUAAAACCCACAACAAAUUGGAGCAAAAAGACAACCAAAAGUUAUGUACACUCCAAUACUUACACAGAAAUGUGUGCCUUGUCUAAUUAAACGAACACAAUCAACUGCUGAAUUAUUUUUAUCAUAUUUGUUAAAACCAUAAAAACUGAACUUCAUAAAUUCGAAAAACUAUUCUGUUCGUAUUAAAAGUCCCUCCUUUUACCACACUAGCCUCUCAGUUUGAGCUUAUAAAUAUCAUAUAUUCAUUAAUUGAAACUGUAAAAAAAAAAAAAAUAAUAAUAAUAAAUAAAAGCGUUGUAUAAAAUCUAUAAAUGGUAAUUAGUGGGUCGUAUUUGCCUAAUAACAACUGUCUCCAUACAUAUUAAACAUAAAACACAUCCGUACUUGUUCCUGAGGAGUCCAAAUCUACUUUGGUAAAAAAUUUUAUAAAGUCUGGCUUUUUCAUAUUUUUUAAAACUAUUGAAAUUUCUUCCGCAUCAAUAAGGCCUUCAAAAAGAAAAAAAAAAGAAAGAAACAGGUAAAUGCGUAAAUACAUACACAAUAUGCAUAAGUAUUGAACAUGUAAGUAAAGCAAAAAGUUGCACAUAUGUUGGUAACUGCAAUUAUAUUUUUAAUUGUUGAACGGAAAAAUAAACAGACUUAUAAAAAUAGUUUUUAAAAUCUUUUUUAAUAAAUGUUUUCUGGUAUUACAUAAUAACAGCAUUAUGUGUUUUCCAAAGAGAUUCAAUUUAAUCACUCAAACGUUUACAUAAGUACACACAAGUUAAUUUGAUAACAUUUAAUUAUUAUUAAAAAAAAAAAAAAAAGAACUUUCGAUUUAUGAGUUUUGAGAAUGAUUUAAAAAAUUAACUUACCAUCUCUGUUUAAAUCAUAAUCCACAAACUCUUCAUAAAUAUUUUCUUUCUCCUCUUCAGACAUGUCAGUUGGUACCUGAUUUAAAGAUUCAGUCCCAUUGUUUUUGUGAUGAAAUAAUACGAAAAAAAACGAAAAAAAACGAAAAAAAAAAAGGAAAAAUAAAUAUUAAAUCAAUCACAUUUACAAACAGGAUAUUUGCAUCUACAUAUGUACAUAGUUUAGUUAAAUAAGUUUCCCAUUUUUUACUUGAGAUUUUAGUUUAUUCCAAAAUGUUGUAAACACGAAUGUGAUUAAAAUUAACUUCAAGCAAGACAGUCUCAUAAUAUCUUCAAUUUGUUUUAUUGAAAAAAAUAAAGUAAAAAAGGGGGAGAACUUUAUUAACAAAUUUUCUUAUUUUUUAGGACAAAAUUUUUCUCAUACAAAUUUACGUCUUCCUAAGUAUGUAUAUGUGUAUAGAGUGUUUCAUAAUUGAGCACAGUGUAUAGAUUUUAUUCUGCACAAGACUCCUGUUGCGUGUUUUAAAUUAUGAAAUUUUCUUAUUAAACUGGAAAAAAUAUAAAAUAAAACAAAAUAAAGAAAAAUAAAAUUACGAAAAAAAAAAAAAAAAAAAAAUGGUAAUCAUAGACAAAUUCAUCAAUUGUAUUUACACAUCCGUAUAAUAUUUUAAGAACAUGCAUAUGCCUCACAAAGGAGAGAUUGUAAGUAAUUAGGGGCUGGAGAAAAUAUUAGCUUAUGAAUUUGCUUUAAUUUUUUUUUUUUUUUUUUGUUCCUUGAUUUUAGAAGCGUGUCAUAUUAAUUCCAUAUAUUCUACUUCAUUUUUCCCCUCCCCCUUAUCAAAUGUAUUGCUGAAAUUUAUGUUGUCAAGUUGGAAGAAUUCAAAUCCCUUCUUAAGUCACAAAUACGAAAAAAAAAAAAGUCAAAAAAGUGUAAAAAUAUAUGUAAUGGGCUUUCUAAAAUAACUUCUCUGUUACAUAAUUGUGCUCCUUACAUGGGUUAUCAUUUAUUUAAACAUAGAACAUGAUUUAAAAUGCAUUCCCUGCUUCUCAAUAUGAAAAUGUAGCAUUUAGCACUAAACCCAAUUUUGAACAUGCUUUAAAUGUGGAUGAAAUGUUGUGACGAAGCACAGUUGGAGUUACCUUCAUUUAAUUCAUAUGUGGAAAAAUGUCAGUUUUAAAAUAUGCUUUUUUUUUUUUUUUUUUUUUUUUAAAUGUAUAGAUAAUUGUACUUUAUGUUUCAUUACUCACAUAUUGCUUAAGUGGUGCAUGCAUAUGUGUUUUCACAUCUUUCAUUUUCAUUAAAAUCGUUCUUCUUCUUAUCCUUGAUUUCUCCAUAGUUCUCCCAAACACAAUUGCAUUGAAGGAGUAUUCACAGUAUAUUUACUUUAUCGAUUUGUUUUUGCUGAAUUGUCCUUAAAAAUUGAAGUCCUUUUGUUUUAAUCGUUUGCAGAAAUACAAGUUUUCUUAAAAUUGGCAUUAUGAUCAACUUAUAAAAAAAGUAAUUAUGCGCAAAAAGAGGCAAACACUCUGUUAAACAAUUUACAUAUCAGUAAAAUAUAUAUAUAAGUGGGGACAUUUUAUAUUUCAAAAUGAAAGUCUAAUUCUUUUCCGCUUCUUUUUAUUUAUUUAUUUUUUUUUUGUUGUUUUUGUAUCUUACAUAAUUUAAUCAUGCCCUCACCACUACUAUUAUACGGAACAGAAAUUUUUUAAAUGAAUGAAAUAAAAACACACAUACACACAAGGGGGAAAUUAUGUUUGAUUUAGCCCAAUCGUCCAAUGCAACCCACCUAUUUCCAUUUCUCUGAUUUUUGUAAAAAGGAAUUUAGGGUAAACCCACAUGUUAUGCUAUAUCCUUACUCCAUCCACAUGGGACGCACAAAAAAAGAACAAGACGAAAUAGUGUAUAUAGGAAUAUGUGCAUGCUCAUAUAUAAAUCCCCAAAAGUACAUGAGUAAAUGCAGAAUUCUCUAUACACACAAUUAUGUAGCAAACCCAUGUAUACAGCCAUAUAUGCACACACACAUAUGCACAUGAACUUAUAUGGAGAAAAUGGAAAAUGAAGAAAAUGCAAACCACCAAAUUUUUUUUUGCGACACAAUUACUAGCAUAAAUCGUCUCACAGGAAAUGAAUUUUAUUUCUAUUCUAACGAUGAUGCGGAUAUAUAUAGGAAAAAAAAAUGCAAUGAAUUGCAAAUAGGUGAAGCGAACACAGGUGACCACAGUGAAUUGCAACCCUUAAUUAUAAAUGAUGGAGACAUCAAAAGGAACAAACUGAAGAAUCAAAAGCAGAGUGAAAUACAAACGGGAAAAAAAAAACAAUGUAAGGUUAGUAAAAAAGAGCAAGGAGACACAAGUAAUUACUUCUCUAGCGAAAGAACAAUUAAUGAACACGUAUAUGAGGAAAGAGAAAGAUUAGUCUUUGAACAAGAAUUUAACAAAGUGCACGACAUGUAUAAUGUCGAAGAAAUUAUGAAAAUCAUAAAUAAAUUAAAUUCCAUAAGAAAAGAAAUUGAAACUGUAAUAUAUAAAAAGUUAGAAAAAAAAUACAGUGAAUUUCUUACAGCUUCAGACAAAAUUAAAGAUAUAGAAAUGUUCAUAAAAAAUAUUAAUGACUUAGUAGUGGAAAAUACUAGAGAGCUAAAACUUCUGCAAGACAAAAAAUAUAGACAAAGUUUAAACAUAAUAAAUCUUGUUACUAAAAAAAAAAAAUUCCAAAAAAUUAAUUUAGUUAUAUUAACUAUAUAUAUUAUAUAUAUAUGUGAUAGACUAAUAUUUAAAAGUAUCUUAAAAAAAGACUAUGAAUAUGCUUCCUUGGUAUAUUUUGAGUUAGUCAAUUUUAUAAAAGCAAAUGCCAAAUACCUUGACAAAAUUAAUUGUAUACUUCAUUUAAAGGAAAAAAUUAUGCUAGAAUAUUUUGACAGAUUAAAGCAAAAAAAUCAAACAAGUUUUGUCGAGUUCUUAUUUUCAAACAAUACAAACAAAAAUUUUGAAGUGCAAUUAAAAAACUCCUUCAAAAUUUAUUACUUGCUUUUUAAAAGCAAGCCUUCGAAUUUUAUCGAAAAUUUGUUAGCCUUUAUAUACCAGUGUUUUCGAAAAAUCUCAAAACAAGUCAUUUUUUCCUUCUUAAUUGUAAUCAAGAAGAGUGGAAGUAGAGACAAACAAAAGAAGGAAGAAAAAAAAAAAGAAAAUCUGAUAGAUGCAAAAAAAGUAGCAGAAAAUACCAAACAGCAGAAAGGGGCAGAAAAUGGCAACUACUCCACACAAGACUUUGAUAAAAAAAAUUCAUUUUACAAAGAAGACAUAAAAAAAACAGUUGACACUUAUGAAUUAAAAACAAAUGGUUCGUGUGAACAUAGCCCAAAUGAUACCCCAUCAUUGUAUGAAAAUUGUAUGUAUGAAGAUAUAAAUAAUAAGAGUUCAAAUCAAAGAAAAAAUAUAGUGCAAAAUGUAAACCUUAAAAAAAACGAAGGAACAUCUCGUCUUAUAGCAAAUGUUGAUGAUUCUUCCUCCCCAAGAGAUACUAACAUAAGUGAUGUGACUAACCCUGGAUAUGAAAAUAGAGACAAAUUAAAAAUGAUAGGAAAUAAAACGAUAAAUAACAAUUUAUCAUCAACUUUGAAUAACCCAAAUGAUACAUUCGAAAUUGAUAUAAACCACAUUCAAGAAGAAGCAAACUUUUUGUUUAUUCCUCUCAAUGAAUUGGCGCAAAAAUUAAACGAGAAAAACUGUUUGACUUCUCUUCUUAAAAUUUACGAAAUUGUGUUUGAUGUGAUGAAAAAAUAUGACUCCAUCAUCAUUUAUUUAUUAAAUUAUAAAAAAAAAGAACCAUCUAAGGGAGAUUCAAGAGGGUUAAAAAAAGAGGACACAUCACUUAAUCACAAUAGCAGGGAUUCUUCAGUAGGUGACGACACCUUCCAAUUUUCUAAGUAUCACAAUAAUAGGGGAAGUAUAGUCCUUGAAAAUGAACCGUUCGAUGAAAUUGGUAAGAUGGACAAGAAUGAUCCGGAGGGUGAAAAUUUAUAUAAGUACAACUUUCAGUCAAACGA